UCGAGGAUCUUCGGCAAUGAGCGCAAGCUUGACCGAGCGACGCCGCGUGUGCGACGAAGGCCUUCGGGUUGUAAAGCACUGUCGAGGGGGAGGAAAGCCCGAAAGGGUCUGACCUAUCCCUGGAGGAAGCACGGGCUAAGUUCGUGCCAGCAGCCGCGGUAAGACGAACCGUGCGAACGUUGUUCGGAAUCACUGGGCUUAAAGGGCGCGUAGGCGGGCAUUAAAGUCAGGGGUGAAAUCCCCCAGCUUAACUGGGGAACUGCCUUUGAUACUGAAUGCCUCGAGUAAGGUAGGGGCAUGCGGAACUGAUGGUGGAGCGGUGAAAUGUGUUGAUAUCAUCAGGAACUCCGGUGGCGAAGGCGGCAUGCUGGACCUUCACUGACGCUGAGGCGCGAAAGCUAGGGGAGCGAACGGGAUUAGAUACCCCCGUAGUCC
This 435-nucleotide ribosomal RNA is filed under the name uncultured bacterium. RNAcentral describes it as "bacterial SSU rRNA". It matches the Rfam family "Bacterial small subunit ribosomal RNA", at positions 355 to 796 of the family's 1533-position model. The record is from RNAcentral.